RNAcentral lists this long non-coding RNA (292 nucleotides) under Dasypus novemcinctus (nine-banded armadillo). Its description in RNAcentral is "lncRNA (ENSDNOG00000052838.1)". Lineage: Eukaryota; Metazoa; Chordata; Mammalia; Cingulata; Dasypodidae. The record is from RNAcentral.
GUACAUGUGUCUGAUAUGAAUUUUUUUUUAAUUCAGGAAGUUUGUAAGUGGUUGUUUUUUUCUUUUCUCUUCAUAGCAAAUAAUCAGGAAGAGAUUUUACUGAGGAAUAACAUAUCACAGAUGACAAGGGAAUUGUCAAGAUACUUUGAUAACAUGUAUAUUUCAUAUUUGAAGAAGAAGACAGAGGAUUACAAAAACAGAAAAGUCCUCGUCGAUACCUCAUUAGAUCUGUCUUGGGAACUGGUAGCUAAGCAAAGUAAGUAAUGUGUCAUGGGUGGUCUUUAUAUGCAAA